This 451-nucleotide ribosomal RNA is filed under the name uncultured bacterium. RNAcentral's name for it is "partial 16S ribosomal RNA". It matches the Rfam family "Bacterial small subunit ribosomal RNA", at positions 29 to 523 of the family's 1533-position model. The record is from RNAcentral.
AACGAACGCUGGCGGCAGGCUUAACACAUGCAAGUCGAACGGGUGCAGCAAUGCAUCAGUGGCAGACGGGUGAGUAACACGUGGGAACCUUCCUCGGGGUACGGAACAACUCAGGGAAACUUGAGCUAAUACCGUAUACGUCCGUGAGGAGAAAGAUUUAUCGCCCUGAGACGGGCCCGCGUCGGAUUAGCUAGUUGGUGGGGUAACGGCCUACCAAGGCGACGAUCCGUAGCUGAUCUUAGAGGAUGAUCAGCCACACUGGGACUGAGACACGGCCCAGACUCCUACGGGAGGCAGCAGUGGGGAAUCUUGGACAAUGGGCGCAAGCCUGAUCCAGCCAUGCCGCGUGAGUGAAGAAGGUCUUCGGAUUGUAAAGCUCUUUUGCCAGGGACGAUAAUGACGGUACCUGGAGAAUAAGCCCCGGCAAACUUCGUGCCAGCAGCCGCAGUAA